RNAcentral lists this ribosomal RNA (1662 nucleotides) under Parastagonospora nodorum. RNAcentral describes it as "eukaryotic LSU rRNA". It matches the Rfam family "Eukaryotic large subunit ribosomal RNA", at positions 1336 to 3019 of the family's 3401-position model. Lineage: Eukaryota; Fungi; Ascomycota; Dothideomycetes; Pleosporales; Phaeosphaeriaceae. The record is from RNAcentral.
UAUUACCUAUACCCCGCCGCUGAGGCAGAAUUUAUGCCCUAGUGAGUAGGCAGGCGUAGAGGCUUAUGACGAAGCCUUAGGGGUGACCUUGGGUUGAACGGCCUCUAGUGCAGAUCUUAGUAGUAGUAGCAAAUACUUAAAUGAGAACUUUAAGGACUAAAGUAGAGAAAGGUUCUGUGUGAAUAGCAGUUGGACACGGGUUAGUUAAUCCUAAGAGAUAGAGUAGUUCUGUUUUAAUGUUAGCGCUUGCGCUACGCCCUUGAAAGAGAAGCCGGUUAACAUUCCGGCACCUAGAUGUAGAUUCUCUGCAGCAACGCAACUAAGAGCGGAGACCUUAGCGGGAGCCCUAAGAAGAGUUCUCUUUUCUUCUUAAUAGUCUGUCACCCUAAAAUCAGUUUGUCUAGAGCUAGGGUUUAAUAGCUGGAAGAGCGCUGCACUUUUGUAGCGUUUGGUGCGCUCCUGAUGAGCCUUGAAAAUCUGCUUGAAGAAAUAGUUUUUACGCCAGGUCGUACUUAUAACUGCAGCAGGUCUCCAAGGUAAAAAGCCUCUAGUUGAUAGAACAAUGUAGAUAAGAGAAGUUAGCAAAAUAGAUCUGUAACUUUAGAAAAAGGAUUGGCUCUAAGGGUUGGGUACGUUAGGCCUUAGAGAGAAGCCUCUAGCGCAGAAGGGCACUAGCUGCAAGGUAGGCGCCUUUUAGCGCUAGGGUGCGGGCAUCCUUAGCAGGCUUCGGCCGUCUAGCGUACGUUUAACAACUAACUUAGAACUAGUACAGAUAAGGGGAAUCUGACUGUCUAAUUAAAACAUAGCAUUGCAAUAGCUAGAAAGUAGUGUUAACGCAAUGUAAUUUCUGCCUAGUGCUCUAAAUGUCAAAGCGAAGAGAUUCGACUAAGCGCAGGUAAACGGCGGGAGUAACUAUAACUCUCUUAAGGUAGCUAAAUGCCUCGUUAUCUAAUUAGUAACGCGCAUGAAUAGAUUAACGAGAUUCCUACUGUCUCUAUCUACUAUCUAGCGAAACCACAGCUAAGAGAACGGGCUUAGCUAAAUUAGCAGAGAAAGAAGACCCUAUUAAGCUUAACUCUAGUUUAACAUUGUGAAAAGAUAUAGAGGGUGUAGAAUAGGUGAGAGCUUCAGCGCUGGUGAAAUACUACUACUCUUAUUGUUUUUUUACUUAUUUAAUAAAGCGGAGCUGGGCCUUACUGCUUAACUUCUAGCGUUAAGGUCCUUCGUAGGCUGAUCUGGGUUGAAGACAUUGUUAGGUAGGGAGUUUAGCUAAGGCAGCACAUCUGUUAAACUAUAACGCAGGUGUCCUAAGGGGGACUUAUAGAGAACAGAAAUCUCUAGUAGAGCAAAAGGGCAAAAGUCCCCUUAAUUUUAAUUUUUAGUGUGAAUACAAACUAUGAAAGUGUAGCCUAUUAAUCCUUUAGUCCCUUAAAAUUUGAGGCUAGAGGUGCUAGAAAAGUUACUACAGGGAUAACUAGCUUAUAGUAGCUAAGCGUUUAUAGCGACGUUGCUUUUUAAUCCUUUAAUAUCGGCUCUUCCUAUCAUACUAAAGCAGAAUUCAGUAAGCGUUAGAUUGUUCACCUACUAAUAGAGAACGUAAGCUAGGUUUAGACCGUCGUAAGAUAGGUUAGUUUUACUCUACUGAUGACCUUGCCCUAAUAG